This 460-nucleotide ribosomal RNA is filed under the name uncultured bacterium. RNAcentral describes it as "partial 16S ribosomal RNA". It matches the Rfam family "Bacterial small subunit ribosomal RNA", at positions 338 to 795 of the family's 1533-position model. The record is from RNAcentral.
CCUACGGGGGGCAGCAGUGAGGAAUAUUGGUCAAUGGACGAGAGUCUGAACCAGUCAAGUAGCGUGAAGGAUGACUGCCCUAUGGGUUGUAAACUUCUUUUAUAAAGGAAUAAAACGAGGCACGUGUGCCUUUUUGCAUGUACUUUAUGAAUAAGGAUCGGCUAACUCCGUGCCAGCAGCCGCGGUAAUACGGAGGAUCCGAGCGUUAUCCGGAUGUAUUGGGUUUAAGGGGAGCGUAGAUGGGUUGUUAAGUCAGUUGUGAAAGUUUGCGGCUCAACCGUAAAAUUGCAAUUGAUACUGGCAGUCUUGAGUACAGGUGAGGUAGGCGGAAUUCGUGGUGUAGCGGUGAAAUGCGUAGAUAUCACGAAGAACCCCGAUUGCGAAGGCAGCUUACUAAACUGUGACUGACAUUGAUGCUCGAAAGUGUGGGUAUCAAACAGGAUUAGAUACCCGAGUAGUC